UCCUACGGGGAGCAGCAGUGGGGAAUUUUGAGUACAAUGGGGGCAACCAUGAUCCAGCCAUGCCGCGUGCGGGAAGAAGGCCUUCGGGUUGUAAACCGCUUUUAGUCGGGAAGAAAAGGCCUGUCCUAAUACGGCGUGGUUCUUGACGGUACCGGCGGAAUAAGCCCCGGCUAACUACGUGCCAGCAGCCGCGGUAAUACGUAGGGGGCGAGCGUUAAUCGGAAUUACUGGGCGUAAAGCGUGCGCAGGCGGUUCGUUAAGUCUGAUGUGAAAGCCCCGGGCUCAACCUGGGAAUGGCAUUGGAAACUGGCGAGCUGGAGUGCGGGCAGAGGGGGGUGGAAUUCCGCGUGUAAGCAGUGAAAUGUGUAGAGAUGCGGAGGAACACCGAUGGCGAAGGCAGCCCCCUGGGCCGACACUGACGCUCAGGCACGAAAGCGUGGGGAGCAAACAGGAUUAGAUACCCUGGUAGUCCACGCCCUAAACGAUGUCGACUGGGUGUUGGGAGAGAGAUCUCUUGGUACCGUAGCUAACGCGUGAAGUUCGACCGCCUGGGGAGUACGGCUUUCUUUGCAAGGUUAAAACUCAAAGGAAUUGACGGGGG
RNAcentral lists this ribosomal RNA (601 nucleotides) under uncultured bacterium. Its description in RNAcentral is "bacterial SSU rRNA". It matches the Rfam family "Bacterial small subunit ribosomal RNA", at positions 337 to 919 of the family's 1533-position model. The record is from RNAcentral.